This 344-nucleotide unclassified non-coding RNA is filed under the name Retama monosperma. RNAcentral's name for it is "partial external transcribed spacer". The record is from RNAcentral. Lineage: Eukaryota; Viridiplantae; Streptophyta; Magnoliopsida; Fabales; Fabaceae.
CGGUUGCGGCUCUGGUGUUCACUCAUGGUUCUUGUGUUGCCUACUAGUUUAGCAGUAUUCAUGUGCCUCUUAAGACCUGUUCGAUCUAGACCCCUUCUAGGGGCUGUUAGGGGGUUCGAAAGUGAUGCGUGUUUUACAUUAGCUGUACGUUGUAAUGGCUCAAGUGCUCGCAUGUGUCUAUUAUUCCCUCGGUUGCGGUGCAUGCGAUGAACGUGGGCUGAGAAUUGUGCCCCGUUGAGUCCCUUUGAUUUAUCGGUUGCCUUGAAUGACACUUUGUCGUAGUGCUGGUGUUGUUUUACCAUUCGUGGUGACAACACUUGUACGUCGAGCAAAGUCGUUGAUGG